AACGAACGCUGGCGGCGCGCCUAAUACAUGCAAGUCGAGCGAGAAGACGUAGCAAUACGUUUGUAAAGCGGCGAACGGGUGAGGAAUACAUGGGUAACCUACCCUAGAGUGGGGAAUAACUAGCCGAAAGGUUAGCUAAUACCGCGUACGCUCCUUGGACUUCGGUUCAGGGAGGAAAGCGAUACCGAGGGUAUCGCGCUCUUGGAUGGGCUCAUGUCCUAUCAGCUUGUUGGGAGGUAACGGCUCACCAAGGCUUCGACGGGUAGCUGGUCUGAGAGGACGAUCAGCCACACUGGCACUGCGACACGGGCCAGACUCCUACGGGAGGCAGCAGUAAGGAAUAUUGCGCAAUGGGCGAAAGCCUGACGCAGCGACGCCGCGUGGGGGA
Molecule: ribosomal RNA, 388 nt
Filed under: uncultured bacterium
Lineage: Bacteria
Description: bacterial SSU rRNA
Rfam family: Bacterial small subunit ribosomal RNA
Source: RNAcentral